RNAcentral lists this ribosomal RNA (395 nucleotides) under uncultured bacterium. Its description in RNAcentral is "bacterial SSU rRNA". It matches the Rfam family "Bacterial small subunit ribosomal RNA", at positions 394 to 793 of the family's 1533-position model. The record is from RNAcentral.
AUGCCGCGUGAGUGAGUGAAGGUCUUAGGAUCGUAAAGCUCUUUCGCCAGGGAUGAUAAUGACAGUACCUGGUAAAGAAACCCCCGGCUAACUCCGUGCCAGCAGCCGCGGUAAUACGGAGGGGGUUAGCGUUGUUCGGAAGUUACUAGGGCGUAAAGCGCGCGUAGGCGGAUUGGAAAGUUAGGGGGUGGAAAUCCCAGGGCUCGAACCCUACGGAACUGCCUCCAAAACUACCCAGUCUUGAGUUCGAGAGAGGUGAGUGGGAACUCCGAGUGUAGAGGUGAAAUUACGUAGAUAUUCGGAAGAACACCAGUGGCGAAGGCGGCUCACUCGGCUCGAUACUGACGCUGAGGUGCGAAAGUGUGGGGAGCAAACAGGAUUAGAUACCCUGGUAG